RNAcentral lists this transfer RNA (106 nucleotides) under Melampsora larici-populina 98AG31. Its description in RNAcentral is "tRNA-Ser for anticodon UGA". It matches the Rfam family "tRNA". Rfam says of the family: Transfer RNA (tRNA) molecules are approximately 80 nucleotides in length. The record is from Rfam by way of RNAcentral. Lineage: Eukaryota; Fungi; Basidiomycota; Pucciniomycetes; Pucciniales; Melampsoraceae.
GACAGGAUGGCCGAGUGGUUAAGGCGGCAGUUUUGAAUACUUCACAUUGCAUGAACACAUCAGCUGCUUCACUAUGUGAGCGUGAGUUCAAACCUCACUCCUGUCG